UCUACAUAGCCUAGGUGAGUCCUAGGUCGUUACAGAGUGGUGGCAAAUAACCACUGCAUUCUCAAGAAAAAAUAGUGUGAAAUCUUAAAAAUGCUAGAGUCAUGGAGAGGGAUGUAUUAAGAGCUCAUCCUUUGCAUUCUUAUGCAAAAGUCUAUUAAAAUGUGUUUGAGAAGGAAGCAAAAGCAUUUUAAGGCGGUAGUUUUUUUUCCCCUUUUUAUUUCUUCAUCCGUAAGAAGCAACACUUGGCACUCUCUAUGAUAGGAGGAUGCAGCUUGCAGUCUACGAGGAGCACGACAAAAAUAAGGCAACGACCCAAAAUCAAAUAGGUACGAAUAGAACAAUGUGCUCUAAGCAACAGCAGAGGAAGUAAAAUCUGGCAACCAAAAUAUUAGAAAAAUAUCAUUCUUUACAACAGAUUGGCCUUCAGUUAGCAAACUUCCACAAAAUAAUAAUCCGUAAAUGUUGUAAUAGUAAGAUACAAUAAGGAAUAGAUCCGAAAUAC
Molecule: long non-coding RNA, 502 nt
Filed under: Phoenix dactylifera (date palm)
Lineage: Eukaryota; Viridiplantae; Streptophyta; Magnoliopsida; Arecales; Arecaceae
Description: long non-coding RNA (PDAC_LNC023098)
Source: RNAcentral